This 195-nucleotide unclassified non-coding RNA is filed under the name plant metagenome. RNAcentral describes it as "partial contains small subunit ribosomal RNA, internal transcribed spacer 1, and 5.8S ribosomal RNA". The record is from RNAcentral.
UCUCCGUAGGUGAACCAGCGGAGGGAUCAUUACCGUGUUUACAACUCCCAAACCCCCUUGAACAGACCAUUUGUUGCCUCGGCGGUGCCGGCUUCGGCAGCCCGCCAGAGGACCCAAACCCUUGAUUAUAUACAGUAUCUUCUGAGUAAAUGAUUAAAUAAAUCAAAACUUUCAACAACGGAUCUCUUGGUUCUG